Heterocephalus glaber (naked mole-rat) is the source of this 581-nucleotide long non-coding RNA. RefSeq lists it as uncharacterized. The record is from RefSeq and is a predicted model, not a curated record. NCBI's taxonomy places the organism in Eukaryota, Metazoa, Chordata, Mammalia, Rodentia, Bathyergidae.
AUAAAUCGAUUGGAAUUCACUAAAUAUUACUAGAAUCGCAAACUGAUCGAUCUCUUUGUGAUGGGAAAGGCAAAAAUUCUCAAAAUAAUGUUGACAUGAGGUGAUCAACUUUGCUUCACCACAUGCUUUCUACCUUGAUGUUUGCCCUCACCUCAGGCUCAAAGUAACGGGACCAAAUUACCAUGGGCUGCAUCCUCUGAAACUAUGAGCCAAUAUAAAUCUUUCCUACUUUACACUGAUUUUCUCAGGAACUGCACCUUCCUACUUCUGAUACAAAGAUUAAUUCUGAAAGGCCCACCAGUCUCCUGGUUUAGCGAGUGACACAAAAUUGACAAGUCAAAAUGCCCCAAGCCUCAUUCUGCUGAGACUGGUCCCAGAUAUGGACACCUGGUUCCUCUUUGAGCUUUGUUAUAUGAACAUAGAGUCUUUCAUUUUCUAGAACAGCAAGCACUAGGAAAUAUAUAAAGCUGUAAGUAAGUAGCUUUAGAUUUUACUCUCAGGCCAGUUAUCACCAAAAACCUGAGCUGAGGGUUAGGGAUAGAAUUGAAAAUAGACAUUAAAAAAUGAUAGACAUAGAAAAG